AUGAGGGAGUGCCACAUUUUCUUUCAUUUUUCCUUUUCAUUUUCGGAUAGAGAGAGACAGAGAAAGAAAAGAAGAAGAAAAAAGGGAAAAGAGAAAGGGGAAGAACAAAGAGGAGCUAGAGUUUGGAGGAGACAUUGAAGAGGUUCUGGAGUUAGUAGUUCGCGUGUGAUCUUACUUGGAGUUUCUUCUGAGUUUUUGGAGAUUAGGUAGUAAGUCGAUGCUCUGGUCAUGUAACACUGGGUAGACUAGUUAUUUGAACUCAUGUUUCUAUUCCGUUAUGUAUUACGCUUGAUUUGAGAACCUGUUAUGUUAUUACUUGAUGUUUGAUAGGCUCUUAAGCCAAAUAUUCCGAAUUAUGUUUUAAUUUAUGUUGAUAUGAUUAUUGAGACUUGAUCAUGGUAUGGGACAUGGAUCAUUUUAUGAAA
Molecule: long non-coding RNA, 425 nt
Organism: Vicia villosa (hairy vetch)
Lineage: Eukaryota; Viridiplantae; Streptophyta; Magnoliopsida; Fabales; Fabaceae
Exons: 2
Source: RefSeq, a predicted model, not a curated record